GAGAAUUGAUCUGGUUCAGGAUGAACGCUAGCUACAGGCUUAACACGAUGCAAGUCGAGGGGCAGCAUGAUCUGUGCUUGCACAGGUUGAUGGCGACCGGCGGCACGGGUGAGUAACGCGUAUCCAACCUCCCCUUAGUAGAGGAUAGCCCGGCGAAAGUCGGAUUAAUACUCUAUGUUCUUCUUGGAUGGCAUCAGAAUUGAAGCAAAGAUUUAUCGCUAAGGGAUGGGGAUGCGUCUGAUUAGCUUGUCGGCGGGUAACGGCCCACCGAGGCGACGAUCAGUAGGGGUUCUGAGAGGAAGGUCCCCCACAUUGGUACUGAGACACGGACCAAACUCCUACGGGAGGCAGCAGUGAGGAAUAUUGGUCAAUGGGCGAGAGCCUGAACCAGCCAAGUUAAGCGUGCAGGAAGACUGCCCUAUGGGUUGUAAACUGCUUUUAUAGGGGAAUAAAGUGAGGGACGUGUCCCUUUUUGUAUGUACCCUAUGAAUAAGGACCGGCUAAUUCCGUGCCAGCCGCGGC
RNAcentral lists this ribosomal RNA (522 nucleotides) under uncultured bacterium. RNAcentral's name for it is "bacterial SSU rRNA". It matches the Rfam family "Bacterial small subunit ribosomal RNA", at positions 7 to 518 of the family's 1533-position model. The record is from RNAcentral.